Molecule: ribosomal RNA, 474 nt
Filed under: Polydrusus cervinus
Lineage: Eukaryota; Metazoa; Arthropoda; Insecta; Coleoptera; Curculionidae
Description: partial 16S ribosomal RNA
Rfam family: Bacterial large subunit ribosomal RNA
Source: RNAcentral
CUUUUGAUUAUAAUUUAAGGUCUGACCUGCCCAAUGAAGUUUAAAUGGCCGCGGUAUUUUGACCGUGCAAAGGUAGCAUAAUCAUUAGUUUUUUAAUUGAAAGCUGGAAUGAAAGGUUGGAUGAAAAAAUGACUGUCUCUAUAUAAAUUAUUUAGAAUUUUAUUUUCAAGUUAAAAAGCUUGAAUUAAAUUAGAAGACGAGAAGACCCUAUAGAGUUUUAUUAAUUUUUUUUAAGGUAUAUUUUAGUAUUUAUAAGUAUUUAUGAGUAAGUUAAUUUAGUUGGGGUGAUUGAAAAAUUUAAUAAACUUUUUUUUUAUCAGUACAUUAAUUUAUGGUUAUUUGAUCCUUUGUUUAAGAUUAUAAGAUAAAAUUACCUUAGGGAUAACAGCGUAAUUUUUUUUGAGAGUUCUUAUCGAAAAAAGAGAUUGCGACCUCGAUGUUGGAUUAAAAUAUAAUUUUGGUGUAGAAGCUAAA